CCAGACUCCUACGGGAGGCAGCAGUGAGGAAUAUUGGUCAAUGGACGAGAGUCUGAACCAGCCAAGUAGCGUGAAGGAUGACUGCCCUAUGGGUUGUAAACUUCUUUUAUAUGGGAAUAAAAUGUUCCACGUGUGGGAUUUUGUAUGUACCAUAUGAAUAAGGAUCGGCUAACUCCGUGCCAGCAGCCGCGGUAAUACGGAGGAUGCGAGCGUUAUCCGGAUUUAUUGGGUUUAAAGGGUGCGCAGGCGGAGGCACAAGUCAGGGGUAAAAUCGCGGGGCUCAACCCCGCUCCGCCGUUGAAACUGUGUCCCUUGAGUGCGCGAAGGGUAGGCGGAAUGCGUGGUGUAGCGGUGAAAUGCAUAGAUAUCACGCAGAACUCCGAUUGCGAAGGCAGCAUACCGGCGCCCAACUGACGCUGAAGCACGAAAGCGUGGGUAUCGAACAGGAUUAGAUACCCUAGUAAA
Molecule: ribosomal RNA, 465 nt
Filed under: uncultured bacterium
Lineage: Bacteria
Description: bacterial SSU rRNA
Rfam family: Bacterial small subunit ribosomal RNA
Source: RNAcentral